RNAcentral lists this ribosomal RNA (778 nucleotides) under uncultured bacterium. Its description in RNAcentral is "bacterial SSU rRNA". It matches the Rfam family "Bacterial small subunit ribosomal RNA", at positions 1 to 835 of the family's 1533-position model. The record is from RNAcentral.
UAGAGUUUGAUCAUGGCUCAGAGCGAACGCUGGCGGCAGGCUUAACACAUGCAAGUCGAACGGGCGUAGCAAUACGUCAGUGGCAGACGGGUGAGUAACGCGUGGGAACGUGCCUUUCGGUUCGGAACAACCCAGGGAAACUUGGGCUAAUACCGGAUACGCCCUUACGGGGAAAGAUUUAUCGCCGAAAGAUCGGCCCGCGUCUGAUUAGCUUGUUGGUGAGGUAACGGCUCACCAAGGCGACGAUCAGUAGCUGGUCUGAGAGGAUGAUCAGCCACACUGGGACUGAGACACGGCCCAGACUCCUACGGGAGGCAGCAGUGGGGAAUAUUGGACAAUGGGGGAAACCCUGAUCCAGCCAUGCCGCGUGAGUGAUGAAGGCCCUAGGGUUGUAAAGCUCUUUUGUGCGGGAAGAUAAUGACGGUACCGCAAGAAUAAGCCCCGGCUAACUUCGUGCCAGCAGCCGCGGUAAUACGAAGGGGGCUAGCGUUGCUCGGAAUCACUGGGCGUAAAGGGUGCGUAGGCGGAUCUUUAAGUCAGAGGUGAAAGCCUGGAGCUCAACUCCAGAACUGCCUUUGAUACUGGGGAUCUUGAGUUCGGGAGAGGUGAGUGGAACUGCGAGUGUAGAGGUGAAAUUCGUAGAUAUUCGCAGAACACCAGUGGCGAAGCGGCUCACUGGCCCGAUACUGACGCUGAGGCACGAAGCGUGGGGAGCAACAGGAUUAGAUACCCUGGUAGUCCACGCGUAAACGAUGAAUGCAGCCGUUGGCGGGUUUAC